AUGCAACAGCGAUUGCAACGACAUCCUUUUUGCGAAGCAUUCCCGCGAAGUAAAAAGAUACAGUGUAAAGCGCGUUAAGUU
This 81-nucleotide small RNA is filed under the name Chishuiella changwenlii. RNAcentral describes it as "Flavo-1 RNA". It matches the Rfam family "Flavo-1 RNA". Lineage: Bacteria; Pseudomonadati; Bacteroidota; Flavobacteriia; Flavobacteriales; Weeksellaceae. The record is from RNAcentral.